Molecule: ribosomal RNA, 460 nt
Filed under: uncultured bacterium
Lineage: Bacteria
Description: partial 16S ribosomal RNA
Rfam family: Bacterial small subunit ribosomal RNA
Source: RNAcentral
CCUACGCGAGGCAGCAGUGAGGAAUAUUGGUCAAUGGACGAGAGUCUGAACCAGCCAAGUAGCGUGAAGGAUGACUGCCCUAUGGGUUGUAAACUUCUUUUAUAUGGGAGUAAAACAGGGUAUGCAUACCCUCUUGUAUGUACCAUAUGAAUAAGGAUCGGCUAACUCCGUGCCAGCAGCCGCGGUAAUACGGAGGAUCCGAGCGUUAUACGGAUUGGUUGGGGUUAAAGGGAGCGUAGGUGGAUUGUUAAGUCAGUUGUGAAAGUUUGCGGCUCAACCGUAAAAUUGCAGUUGAAACUGGCAGUCUUGAGUACAGUAGAGGUGGGCGGAAUGCGUGGUGUAGCGGUGAAAUGCUUAGAUAUCACGAAGAACUCAGAUUGCGAAGGCAGCUUACUAAACUGCCACUGACAUUGAUGCUCGAAAGUGUGGGUAUCAAACAGGAUUAGAUACCCUUGUAGUC